RNAcentral lists this small RNA (92 nucleotides) under Flavobacterium urumqiense. Its description in RNAcentral is "Flavo-1 RNA". It matches the Rfam family "Flavo-1 RNA". Lineage: Bacteria; Pseudomonadati; Bacteroidota; Flavobacteriia; Flavobacteriales; Flavobacteriaceae. The record is from RNAcentral.
CCCUAGCCCUGAUAGAAGCGGCAUCCUUUCCAGUGCUGAACUUGUGAAACAAGUUCAGCACUGGAAAGAUAGAGCGAAUAGCAGGAAUAGCU